Molecule: transfer RNA, 61 nt
Filed under: Glyphocrangon regalis
Lineage: Eukaryota; Metazoa; Arthropoda; Malacostraca; Decapoda; Glyphocrangonidae
Description: tRNA-Thr
Rfam family: tRNA
About the family: Transfer RNA (tRNA) molecules are approximately 80 nucleotides in length. Their secondary structure includes four short double-helical elements and three loops (D, anti-codon, and T loops).
Source: RNAcentral
GAUUUAAUAGUUUAAAAAAAAUAUCGGUCUUGUAAACCGAUGAUGAAUCUUUCUUAAAUCA